RNAcentral lists this ribosomal RNA (265 nucleotides) under uncultured bacterium. RNAcentral describes it as "partial 16S ribosomal RNA". It matches the Rfam family "Bacterial small subunit ribosomal RNA", at positions 334 to 596 of the family's 1533-position model. The record is from RNAcentral.
GAGUGCCUACGGGGCGCAGCAGUGAGGAAUAUUGGUCAAUGGGAGAGAUCCUGAACCAGCCACGCCGCGUGAGGGAAGACGGCCCUAUGGGUUGUAAACCUCUUUUGUCGGAGAACAAAACCCGGGACGUGUCCCGGACUGCGUGUAUCCGAAGAAAAAGCAUCGGCUAACUCCGUGCCAGCAGCCGCGGUAAUACGGAGGAUGCGAGCGUUAUCCGGAUUUAUAGGGUUUAAGGGUGCGUAGGCGGUCCGUUAAGUCAGCGGUA